RNAcentral lists this ribosomal RNA (253 nucleotides) under uncultured bacterium. Its description in RNAcentral is "partial 16S ribosomal RNA". It matches the Rfam family "Bacterial small subunit ribosomal RNA", at positions 524 to 776 of the family's 1533-position model. The record is from RNAcentral.
AACGUAGGUUCCGAGCGUUAUCCGGAUUUACUGGGCGUAAAGCGCGUUCAGGCGGUUUGGCAAGUCGGGCAUGAAAUCUCUGGGCUCAACCCGGAGAGGUUGUCCGAUACUGCUAAACUGGAGGGCAGUAGAGGGUGGUGGAAUUCCGGGUGUAGUGGUGAAAUGCGUAGAGAUCCGGAGGAACACCAGUGGCGAAAGCGGCCACCUGGACUGCACCUGACGCUGAGGUGCGAGAGCGUGGGGAGCGAACCGG